Molecule: long non-coding RNA, 9227 nt
Filed under: Homo sapiens (human)
Lineage: Eukaryota; Metazoa; Chordata; Mammalia; Primates; Hominidae
Description: HSALNT0001006
Source: RNAcentral
UGACAUAAAAGGAAAGGCAGAGAGGCAGCCCAAGCUCCUUUUCCUUUCCGUCCUUCCGUGCUCAUCAGGAAGCCCAAGGCAGGGAGUGAGGGUACAACCACGGAACCUACAGUCGCUGGAUCAAGCUCUCCCUGCCCAGUGCUGUGAAUCAUGACUGGAGUGAGGGAAAACUGUAUAAAUGGCUGCAAACCAAGCCCACUGGUUACAGACAGUGUCUGCUAGCUGUAGACCACGCCUGUUGGUUACAAACCAAGUCCGAUGGUUCUGGGGCACAAGACAGUCCCCAUGACUAAGAAUGACCCAACCACAAACGCCGGCAGUGCUGUGGUGAAGGAGCCACGCAGGAGAAUGGAGGUGGUAAAAGCAGGCUCACCGGGGUCAAACUGUCCAGUUUUAAGUUCUGGAUCCAACUUUUACGAAUGCUAUGGACUUGGAAAAUUAUAACCUUUCACCGAGCCUCAGUUUCCCCAUCUGUAAAUAAUGGGAUGAUAACGGCACCUGCCUCCUGAUGCAGAGUUGGCUCGGCGCAGGGCAGCCAGGGCAGCAUCCCCAGCCCUCUGCACCUCCGGACGGUGAGAGCUCCCUGCUUAAUAACGAGCCGGGCCCGGGGACACUUACCCUCUGUCUUGCCUCGCAUAAGUCACUUCAUCCUUGCAAGGAGCAGUCUCUGGGUUCGUGUUAAAAAUCGAAGCUAAAAACCAGUGAUUCUUUUAAGGGUGAUGUUGAGCUUAAACCAUGUUGGGACUUGGAAUAAUAAUACAAAGAAGAACUGACUCCAGGGAGGACUUUCUGGGCUAGCACUGUGCUUUGUGCCUGGCAAGCACCCUCUCGUCUCAUCCUGGGAGUAAGGACAUGUUAACUUAGCAGAGACGAAGAAAUUGAGGCUCAGCGAGCGGGAGGGCCUUGCCGAGGACACAGCUGGCAAAUGGCCGUGUGACCAGAGCCUGCACUUGCAGCGAGACUUCUGUGCUCGCUCUGGUUUCAUCCUUUAAGAGGAACACCCUGCAACGGCCCCGGGGAAGCCCCCCUGCCUUCCUUCACCCCAGGGACCCCAGGAACAUUAGCCAAUAAUGAGAAUUUCUGGUUUCCCUCUCCCAUCUCAUGUCAGCGUUCGGCUAAAAACCUUCCAUCAGCAUCAACCCUAAUGUUUUCAGGCGAGUCUUUAAAUUAAAUUCCGUGGAAAUGGUUUCAUUUCAAUGAAUCAGAUUGGAAUGGCUGGGAGCAAUCCUAGCAGGAGAGCAGAUGCUGCGAGGGAGGCACGGAACCAGGGCCAGCGGGCCUCUUGGCGUCUUCCCGCCCCACCAACUGCCCGUCAGCUCCCAUUUGGUGGAGGCCGUCGCCCAGAGAACCAAUAAGGGUGACAUCUCAAGCAUGUGAGCAGAACCACAGUUGGAAAGAUAAUGUUUGCUCAGCGUCCCGAGGCAGGUGCCCAGCAGAGCUUCCUGGCGGGGCCUCCGGGUGCAGCGCUGAAUUGACUGUCUAGUCCCAUUAGUGUCUGAGGCCAGCCUGGUCCUCGCAGCCACUGUCUGUGCUCACAAAGAACAUGGAUCUCUGGCUCUGACCCGAGGCCUCCAAAGCCUAAAGUGUGGGAGAGGCAGCCAGGUCGUGUCGCACGUUGGGACAUCUCGCUAUGCGACAGUGCCUACUCAUCACUGCUUGAGCAGAACCCACCGUGCUUGCCCGGCCUCCGACCGUCCUGGGCUUGAACCCAGCUCCAUUGCUAGGUGAAUGUGUGAUCUUCAUCAGCCUAAUUUCCCUGUUUCCAAAAUGGGAGUGAUACUUCCCGUCUUAGAGGACAGUUGUGAGAGGCAGGACGGGGCAGGGGCCAGAGCACCCACCCUGGACCUAGAAUGCCUGUGUGGGCAUCUCAGCGAUGUCAUUACCCACUGAGGUACCUGGUGGUGACUCAUGUCCGAUCAGAAGGACCUCCUUGGGGUUUUACAGUGUGGGAUGAACCGAAACAGCAUACACAAAAUACUUCAAAGAGUCUCCAGAACAUACAAAGCAUCGGCCAGGCCAUUUAUUAGAUCCUUCCUGCAUCCCCACAGGCAGUGCCCAGGAGACGUUUGUGGGAGGAAUGCAGGAUCCUGUCACCUGGUCAGGAAGACACCGUCAUCUGUCUGGGCUUGCAGGGGGUCAGAGUGGUGGCAGAGGGCAAAGAAGAUGCACAGAUGCUGCCUCCAGGGCCUGGGAGCAUCACACUAGGUCCAGGGCUUAACACCUUUGCAGGACGUUUCGUGGCGGAGAAGGAUGGGGCAGCAUUGAGGGUGCAGGAGCAGCAGCAGCAGCAGCAGCACAGGCAGGGAGGCCUGGAAGGGCAGCUCCCAGGGGGAACCUGCGGCUGGACAGCUGCAGAGAGGACUGACCCAGACCCCCUUCAGUGUCGGGUAUGGUGGCUCAGUGCCUCGGGCCCACAGUGAUUUCAGGACUCCCGAAAUGUUUUAAUUGCUUUUAAAAUCAAAAGGAAACACAUGAACUUUUAGGUUGAGGAAAAAUGUUUUCAGUAUAUAAAUCAAUAGAUUCCUGUUUAUACCAAUGCCAUUGUAAUAUAUAUGUUUUAAUGUUUUUUUAGCGGAAGGAGGGCCCGGGAAACUCAUGCUGUGACCUGAUAAAUGGCAUGCAGAGGAGUGUGCGAUUUUCUCAGGCCAGCCGUGGGGAGCUGUCAGAGCCGUCCAAAUUAAAGACAUUAAGAAAGGACCUUUGGAGAUGGCAAACAGGAUGGUGGAAUGGAUUCUUUCUGUCAGAUGAGAACUGGACAACAUGACCUCACAAGAUCCUUCUUUUCCUAAAGACUCUGGGACUCUGUGGAUUCCUGGGAACCUUCCGAAGAGUCAGUAGAAGCGGAGCUCCAUCACCCCCAUAUUCCACAUUCUCAUAACCACCAGCUGGAUUUGCUCUCACAGUGACCUCUUUUCACUCCUUCCUGAGAUGUUUCUUGAGCUGGAGACCUGGCUGAGCACUUGCAUUUGUCUCUGCAACAUCCAUCAAACCAUUUACAUGAGUCUUUGCAUCACCUGGAAAGCAGAGCCUGAAGCAAGGGUUCGAAUGCGGAUCCUGGAUUUGGAAGGUGCAAGCCCAAGGUGCCCCUUGUAGACUCCUUACUGGGAAGACCACUAACAGCACCAGGAGGAAAUGCUGCAGCUUGCCUCAAAUCCUGGUCCAGCCGCGUGUCUGCUGGUGACUACAACAACCCUCUUAACGGAUCUGAGCCUUCGUUCCCUCAUCUGUGAGGUAGGGCUGAGGGUGCUGUCCACCUGCCCAGGCUGGUGGGGAACGUGCAAUGAGAUGAUCCCUGUAACAUGCUUGGCAUGAAGCUAGGCACAGUGUAGGUGUGAAUAUAUGAGAGCUGAUUAAAUUAACCAACCUUAUUCCUCCGCAUCAUGACUUACCAGCUACUACCCCACCUGUGUCCUGUAGAACCAGGCUUGCAAAGCCUCUGCUACAUACUAAAGCCAGGGAGAGGCCACUGAUGGGCAAAAAGAGGAGGACAGAGACCUGGAAAACACUAACAAGGGCCCAGUAUAUGCAUAGGAAGCAGACGGCUGAUGUUCAGGUGGAGUUCAGGUUCAGUAUGCUCCAGCAGCACCCAUCGGAGAACCCAUUGGUAAGAGGCUUUGGAACAGAUGAUUUUCUAAAGCUAUAACUGUGGGUGGCUUAUAGGGGUAGUGUGGCCACUGUGACACAUAGGUCCCAUGCCAUACAGGACCUUGGAGCCCUGUCCAAAGCAGUGAUGGGAAAUGCACGUGACUGGGGGCUCUCAGUCUAGGGGAACUAGGAGGGCUUCAGAUCCCAGAGCCUGGCUGAAGCCCCAGCAGGACCACAGUGAUGUCUUGUCUUGGGAAAGUGUGUGCCCUGCCCCCAGAGACACCUGGACUUUUCAGCUCAGCGCUGCGGCAAGCACCCUAGCACAUGCCACCCAGGGCUUCCCAGAGGGUGGCCCCGAGUCAGGCAGUACACUAAAGGUUGGGACUCAAGUGGAAAGUUUGCUGAGAGAGUGAACAGGGGAAGUUGUUGAUCCUGGCCUCAUCUGCCAUUGCUCUCUGGGCACCCUGGCGCUGAGCCAGCCUCGGCUGCUGGCCUCCCUCAGCUGCUGGCCUCCCUCAGUUGCUGGCCUCCCUCAGCUGCUGGCCUCCCUGCUGGGGGUCUGCACCAGGUAGAGUGCUGUUUGGCUGAGAUUCACACACACAAAAAAUCUCAUUAAGCGGUGGAUUAAACAAAAUUGGGGCUUAUUUCUUUCUCUUAUAACAAAAGCCCAGAGGUAGGUGGCUGUAUUAGUCAGGGUUCUCUAGAGGAACAGAACUAAUAGGAUCUACGUAUAUACGAAAGGGAGUUUAUUAAGGAGAAUUGACUCAAAGGAUCACAAGGCGAAGUCCCACGAUAGGCCGUCUGCAGGCGGAGGAGCAAGGAAGCCAGUGGUGGAUCAGUCCAGGUCCCAAAACCUCAAAAGCAGGGAAGCCAACAGUGCAGCCUUCAGUCUGUGGCCAAAGGCUCAAGAGCCCCCAGCAAGCCACUGGUGUAAGUCCAAGAGUCCAAAAGCUGAAGAACCUGGAGUCUGAUGUUCAAGGGCAGGAAGCAUCCCGCGUGGGAGGAAAGAUGAAAGCCAGAAGACUCAGCAAGCCAGCUUCUUCCACUUUCUUCCACCUACAUUUUUUAAGCUGCGCUGGCAGCCCAUUGGAUGGUGCCCACGCAGAUUGAGGAUGGGUCCACCUCUCCCAGUCCACUGACCCCAGUGUUUAUCUCCUCUGGCAACACCCUCACAGACACACCCAGAAACAAUACUUUUCAUCCUUCAAUUCAAUCAAGUUGACACUCAAUAAUCACAUCAAGCAUCCAAUGGACAGUCAUCUGAACACCUCUCCAGAUACAUCGCCACUGUGCAGGGCUUGGGCUGGCAGAGGGUGCUGCAUAAAGACCCAACUUCAAAAGGGAAUGAGAGAAACAGAGCAGUUCAUGAUGCCCCAAGUCUCCCUUUAAAAUCCUUCCGAGCAGGAAUUAUCACAAAGACUCCCCACCCUGGCAGCAGGGUGAGCUCCUUGGUGACCCCACAGGCAGCCCUGGCCCUGCUCUCUGAAGCACUUCCCGGGCUUGUCAUCCCGUGUCCCCUGGCUUUGUGCCCUGGAAGGCCCUUCCUUGUGCAGCACCCCUCAUGGCUCAACUGAAGCAAGCGUAGGAUGCUACACUCCUUGGGCAAUACACAGAUUUUGCAGCCAUCUUCUCCAGAUAUAGUUUUGAAGACCAUCACAGGCUAUUGUAGGCCCCACUUGUGGCACAUUUUUGGACAGUAACAGCCCCUCAAAAUGUAUUUGCUUCCUGUCUGUUCCAUGUGCAAGUAACCAUCCCCUCAAUCUGCUUACAGUCAUGAUCUUAAACGGACCAAGUCUCCUUUUCUGUUUCCAGGAUUUCUUGGUUGACCAGGUCUACGCUUCUGCACUAGUUCUCAAGAGCUGCUGUAACAAAGUGCCACAAACUAGGUGACUUAAAACAACAGGAAGUGAUCCUCUUAUAGUUCUGGAGGCUACAAGUCAGAAAUCAAAGUGUUGGCAGGGCCACGUGCCCUCAAAGGCUGUAGGGGACAAUCCGCUCCUUGCUCAUCCAGCCUCUGCUGGUUUCUAGCAGUCUUGAUGUUCCUCGGCUCCUGCCAGCAUCCUUGAAAUCUCCGCCUUCAUCUUCGCAUGGCUUUCUUUCUUGUUUCGGUGUCCAAGUUUCUUCCUUUUUAUAAGGACACCAGUCCUAUUGGAUUUAGAGUCCAUCCUAAUUCAUUACGGCCUGAUUACAACUGCUAAGACCCCUUUUUUAAAAAAUAAGGUUACAUUCACAAGUUCCAGGUGGACAUUAAUUACAAGGCAACACUAUUUAACUCGGUGCACCCUCUGUCUUUUUAUUUCAUGAUGUCUCCCCAAGGCCUUCUGAAACAGUAGGCUUGGUAGGGAGGCAGCACUCUUGCUCAGCUCAUGGAAGCUAAGGAGGCACCUAGAGACCCUUGCACCUACUGCUGCCUGAGAUACAGGAGCAGAUGGCUUUUCUAAUCUUGUGAGAAUCCAGACUUCUGGAUUUUAAAUCAAUUUAGAUUGCAGGUCUCAGCUUGUAAGCUUCUCUUAACCGAAGUCAAUUUUCUUCUAUACCUGUUUACAAAGCCAUGGGUUCUCACCUGAAUUUCUCUCUUUUGUAUUUUGCUAAAAGCAACAAAGAGCAGCCAACACUCUGAGUUUUUCCAGCAGAUUCCUGGUGAGACAAAGUCGAGAAGGUGGAUAGGAAAGUGGUCUGCUUUCCAAGUUAUCCCAGGGGACAGGUCUACCAAAAUUUGCAAAACACAGCAAGGGUGAACAGCUUCCAAACCUGCAGCGUCUAGACCCUCACCUCCUGCACCAACUGCUACGCCAGUGGUGUACAUUUUAGUUCUUCGUUUUGGUAGCACCCCACUUCUGGCACUAGUUUCUGUAUCUGUUAGGGUAGAAGCUAAGCUGCUAAAAUAAAGAGACCCAACCAUAGUGAUUUUGAUAAUGCAGAUCUUUUCACUCUCUCAUUUUACCAUGCAGGGGUGAAAAACCAGGGCUGGAAGGUGGCUGGGUCACCUUUAACUUGUUGUUACAUGACCACACGGAGCUGCAAGGGAGGGUGGGUUAUGCAGUCUGAAGCCAGACCACGUGCACAGCCAGAAUGUGUAUGGGGUUCUACUAAGUUUGAAAAGGAAAAAAGGCAUCACUGAUAUCAGAAGAUUGAUUUUCAAUUUUUCUCGAUCAUGUAUUUGGCGCUUUAUUGAGCUUCCAAUACCAAAUCUCCCUGGCUCCGUGCUGCCAUUUCUGCCUGAAUAUUUUCAAGGAAACUGAGCACCAGAGGUGUAGAGUAACUUUCCUGAAGUCACAGAGCAAUGUGGAGGUAGAGGUGGAGUCAGUGUCCAGAUCUACCAGGAGCCAAUCAGUCUGAGUCUAUCUGGGCGGCUACCACAAAAUACCACAGACUGAGUGGCCUAUAAACAACAGACGCUUACUUCUCUUAUUUAUCUCUGGAGGCUGGGAAGUCCACAAUCACGGGGCUGGCACAUUCAGCAUCUGGGCAGGGCUACUCUCUCUUUUAACAUGGCUCAUUUUUGCUGUGUCCUCACAUGGGGCUGGCAGAUGGCUGGGUCACCCUUAAUUUGUUGUUAAUUUCCAUGGUUCCUCCAAUUUGUUGUCACUCUUCCCAAAGGGCAGGGACUGAAAGAGUCUAUGGGAGCUUCUUCAGGGACACAACUCAGAAGUUGUAUGCAUCCCCUCUGCUCAUGUUCCAGUGGGCUGAGCUUUGUCACAUGACCACAUCUAGCUGCAAGGGAGGGUGGGAGAUACAGUCUGAAGCCAGAGAGCCAUGCGCACAGCUAGAAUGUGUGUGGGGCCAGAGGGGAUGAACGCUGUGUCCUUACAUGGCAGAGAAGAUGGAAGGCAAAAGGGACUAGGGUGCUUGCUACAACCUCUUUGAUGAGAGCAGAAAGCCAUUCAUGAGGGGGGAGUUCUCAUCAUUUAGUAACUUCCCUGAAAGCUCCACCUCUGAAUACCAUCACUUUGGGGUUUAAGUUCCAACAUGAAUUUUGGAGGGACACGUACAUUCAAACCACACCACAACCUGAUGCUCAUUUCCUCUUCCCUCCACCACAGGGUGAGACAAUCCUGCACCACAGGCAAUAAAGAGACCGUGAUAAGCAAAACCAUCCAUCUGGCUGUGGUUUGGCAUGCACCCCACUGGUCUCUUGAUUUUUCCCAAUUUCCCGUCUGGAGGGGGCCAUAGCCUAGGCCAGAAGAUGUUCUUUUCCCCCCAUGAACCUCAACAAAUCACCAAGUAUGUAAUGGAGGAAAACCGAAAAUCAAUCAUCUGAUAACAGUUCUGCCUUUUUCCUUGCUAUUAGUAGAACUCCACAUACCUGCUGUGCCCCUGGCUAUCUGGCUUCAGAGUACAUCUCCCACCUCCCUUGUAGCUGGAUGUGGUCAUGUGACAAAGGUCAGCCCAAUGGAACAUUUGAGCAGAGGGCAUGUGUACACCUUCUGAGUCCUGAGACCUAAAUGCAACCCAUUCUCCAAAAUCCAGUUUGCAUGCCCCCUCCUCCAGGAAGUCCUCUUUGACUACUGCAGUUUUUUGUUUUGCAAUACCCGUUUUCUAUAGUAUAUUGUUUCUGUGUUGUUCCCAUUGAUACAAAUGGUAUCCUCUUGAGGGCUGUUUAGCAAUUGUUUCAUCUUUCCCUAAUCCUGAGCCUCCCCUGUGUCUGCCACGGAGCCCAUGGCCUGCCCUCACUCCCUGGGUCUUGAGUGGGCUCCCCUCCUCUGUGCCUCCUCUGCUCCCAUCCUUACCUGCAUCAUUGACUUAUCCUGAUCAACUUUUAAGUCAACUGGUUACUUGUCUGCCUCACCCUCAAGAUCACAACCACUUUGACAGCAAGGACUUUGCUUUAAAGUUUUCUAGGGCUGACAUAACAAAGCUCCACAGACUCGGGGUCUUGAACAAGAGGGAUUUAUUUUCCCAUAGUCUUCCAGGCUGAAAGUUCAAGAUCAAAGUGUCGGCACGGUUGGUGGCUCCCGAGGCCCCGUCCUUGGCUUGCAGAUGCCGUCUUCUCCUUGUGUCUUAUCAUCUUCCCUCUCUGCAUGUCUGUGUUCUAAUCCCCUCUUUCUAUAAGGAUGUCAGUCCUCUUGGAUUCGGGCCCACCCUAAUGACCUCAUUUUAACUUAAUCACCUCUGCAAAGAUCUUAUCUCCGAACAUAAUCACAUUCUGAGUCCUUGGGGGUUACAGCUUCAACAUGAAUUUUUUUUGGGAAACACAAAACAGACUUGUUCCUUGUAGCCUACGUGCUCUGGCCCCUAGUACAGAACCUCUCUAAUGGGCCAUGUGGUAGCAGUCACUGGGUACCUGAAUGAAUGUUUAAAACACGAAGAACUGAUCUGACAGCUGGCACUGCUUUGGUGAUAAUUUAUCACAUCGAUCUUUCGGGUUCAGAGCGAGGGCACCCCAACCCCAGAGCAAAGGAGCUCCUGAGGUGGUGGCCAACAGAAAGCUGGAAGGGAGGCCCAGCUGCACUCCAGGAGAGCAGACCCAGCUGUUUCAGGGGCUCUGAGCCAUGUCUGACAACAUUCAAUGUGUUCAUGGAAAAUAGAAUCAGCCCAAUACACCUAAGCGGAGAGGAGGGUUUCUUAAGUGAGAGCUUUUUCCCCAAAAGAGGCGGGUGCUCCGAGGUCAGGAGAUCGAGACCAUCCCGGCUAAAACGGUG